UACGAAUGGAGCGAGCGUUGUUCGGUCUUAUUGGGCUUAAAGGGUGCGUAGGCGGCCUUGUAAGUCAGAGGUGAAAUCCCCCGGCUCAACUGGGGAAUUGCCUUUGAUACUGCGAGGCUUGAGAGUUGGAGGGGAGAGCGGAAUUCCCGGUGUAACAGUGAAAUGUGCAGAUAUCGGGGAGAAGGUCGAUGGCGAAGGCAGCUCUCUGGACAACUUCUGACGCUGAGGCACGAAAGCUAGGGGAG
Molecule: ribosomal RNA, 245 nt
Filed under: uncultured bacterium
Lineage: Bacteria
Description: partial 16S ribosomal RNA
Rfam family: Bacterial small subunit ribosomal RNA
Source: RNAcentral